GUGGGCUUGCUGACUGCGGCUGGCAGGCUGCGGCUGGCAGGCUGUGGCUUGCUGGCUGUAAGCCUGUGGCUUGCUGUAGGCCUGUGGGCUGGCUACUGGCCUGUGGGCUGGCUAACUGGCUGGCUACUGGGGCACUUGUAGAUUAUUUAAAGAAAUAAUCCAUGCACAAUAACCACUACUGCUCCAGAGUAAGUAGUCAAACCGUU
Non-coding RNA from Pelobates cultripes (western spadefoot toad), 206 nucleotides. The record is from the annotation of a GenBank genome assembly. NCBI's taxonomy places the organism in Eukaryota, Metazoa, Chordata, Amphibia, Anura, Pelobatidae.